This 330-nucleotide transfer-messenger RNA is filed under the name pig gut metagenome. It matches the Rfam family "transfer-messenger RNA". Rfam says of the family: Bacterial tmRNA, also known as 10Sa RNA or SsrA, is named for its dual tRNA and mRNA-like properties. Its role is to liberate the mRNA from a stalled ribosome. The record is from RNAcentral.
GUCAAGGUUUCGACGGGGUUUUUGAAGCUGGAGAAGCAAGCCGUUGCAACACGUUAAUUGCAAAAUUAAAAUUAAACGCUAACAAUAAAUUAGCUUACGCUGCCUAAUCGCAGCUGUCUUACCUUUCGCACCUACACCUAAGGCUAAGGCAUCGACUUUGUAGGAAACGACAUAUACUAAGCUUUGCGUAUAUGGGCGUAUCAUGAAGCUACCGAAUGCAUCCGGGUGUCAGCCACUGUAUGCAGGAGGGAAUGCGAAUCGACUGAAUAAGCUUGUAGAAGUACAGUGAAUGGGGCUUCGGACACGGGUUCGACUCCCGUCUGGUCCACU